RNAcentral lists this ribosomal RNA (119 nucleotides) under Pteropus alecto (black flying fox). Lineage: Eukaryota; Metazoa; Chordata; Mammalia; Chiroptera; Pteropodidae. The record is from RNAcentral.
GUCUACCACCAUGCUACCCUGAACAAGCCCAAUCCCAUCUGAUCUCAGAAGCUAAGCAAAGUCGGGCCUGGUUAGUACUUGGAUGGGAGACCACCUAGGAAGACCAGGUGCUGUAGGUG